Molecule: long non-coding RNA, 3938 nt
Organism: Anguilla rostrata (American eel)
Lineage: Eukaryota; Metazoa; Chordata; Actinopteri; Anguilliformes; Anguillidae
Exons: 3
Source: RefSeq, a predicted model, not a curated record
UUUAUAAAGGAACUACAGAGCAACCUGGCUGCCAUCAUUGGCUGUGCAGUGUCAAGUCCAGCCAAACACAACCAUGCUGUCAUCACAACUGGAUGUGCUUAAUAAUGCACGUUUAGGAAUUCAGCAGUGCAGCUCACACAAGUAUACAUUGAUAAGACCCAAAUGCAAUAGUGUAACAAAGUCUUGGGACCCUGACGAUCAGAUCACUUUUGACAGCAGUGAUUAAUGUGCCAGAGAGGUGGCAUUUCAUUUCCCCAGCACGGGUGGAUCCUUACAAUCAAAAUAUUGAAGUAUUUAUUGAAGUAUAAAGAAAUUGUGCAAAAAUAUUUUUUUAUAAUGGAUGAAGGAAUAGACUAUAGAAUGGAUGUUUAUAAUUAAAAUUGAGGGAUGUUUACAGUGGUGAGGCAGAGCUGGGGGUGGCCACUGCUCAUGUGGUGAACAGACAGGAUAAAAUAACCUAAAGGUUUGGUUUACCAUCUUUUAUUGGUUUAAACCAGUGUUUCUCAAUCCAGGUCCUGGGGACCCACUGCCCUGCAUGUUUUAGAUGUCUCCCUGCUCCAACACACCUGAUUCAAAUGAAUGGGUCGUCAUCAAGCUCUGCAGAAGCCUUUUAUCGACCCAUUCAUUUGAAUCAGGGAUCAGCCCCAGCAUACCUCUACCAGAUAUUCAAACCCUACAUGCCAGCCAGAUCCCUCCAUUCUGCUACCUCAGGACGCCUAGCACCUCCCCCUCUUCGCACCUGCACUUCCAGAAGACGUCUCCUGUCUGUUCUGGCCCCACGAUGGUGGAAUGACCUCCCUGUGGAGGUCAGAACAGCUGAGACACUGACCCAUUUCAAACGACGACUGAAGACUCACCUCUUCAGGCUGCACCUCUCCCCAUCCCUCCCUACCCCCCUGUAAAUGACUGUAAGCUUAGGGUUGUAACUAGGCAGCUGUUUCGUAGGUGACUUAGGUGCAUUAACUGUCUUAACUACUACUUGUAUUUUUUUCCAUAGACUGCGUUGUUGCCGUUCUCGUUGUUAGUGUUAAUCAGUUUAACCUUCAGGGUCCAAAUUGAAAUAUGCGGUUGUUCCCUGCACUUGGACCGGUACUUCUCUCUAGGGGUUUCGUCAUACUUGUUCCUGGUUAUGGUUAUACACUUUGUUGUACAUCGCUCUGGAUAAGAGCGUCUGCCAAAUGCCUGUAAUGUAAUGUAAUGUGUGUUGGAGCAGGGAGACAUCUAAAACAUGCAGGGCAGAGGGUCCCCAGGACCAGGGUUGAGAAACACUGCUUUAAACCACCAAAGCAACAGAAAUCCGAAAGUAAACAUAAAAAACCAAAUGCCUCAAAGGCAAAGGAACAACAAAAAUCUAACAAACUGGCACCAACCCAACCCAACCCAACCCAACCCAACCACAAAUACCCUAGCUUCCCCAAACACUGUCCAAAAACUCUCCUCCUGGGCCUGACCCAACCAGGCCCUUUUAAUUAGGCCCAAUAAUUAGGUAAUGGGCUGCAGCUAGCUGUAGUGAUAACGAUGUCUCACAGCUGUGGCCGUACCUGUGAGUAGGGCCGAUGCUUCCCUCUUGUGGACAGCACCCCAUUUUCCCUCCUGGCACCACUCAGUAUAGAGUGUGAUCAUAUUUUAAGAGGUAAUUCAUAUCUUGAUUCAUGAGAUUGGGUUGUUUUCCACUGAGUUGGUCAAAUCAAUCUUUUUAAAUUCCCUUGACAAGCUCAUAACUGAAAAAGUUCUAAUCUAAGCAUUAGAGCGAAGGUUAUCAUACGAGUCACCAGAGACCUCCUGGGCUGCAGUCAAGGCCACUGCUUCUUUGAUCUUUCACAGAUGUCUGAAUCUUAAAGAGUAUGUCCUGUUGGUCAGCUUGACAAUUGAUUAACUCACUGGAUAAGAAAGUCAAUCUUAAACACAGAGAAAGCCUUUUUUCCAUUUAAACAUUGCGGAACGCAUUUUUUUUUGUUUUCAGAGUCACUAACCUGACACUGCUGCCAUAUCUAGUUUGUAUGACUGAGUAUUACUACAGUACAAGCAAUAACAUCUAUUAUAAGGCUUUCAUAGGCGAAUGUGGUGACUACAUUUGCUAAAAAUAAAAUAAAAAAAGUUUCAAACAUCAAAGGUUUUUCAAACUGUAAGCAUUACCUUUUUAUUCUCUUUCAACACAUUGUAUGUUACUUUUGGCUUACUUUAUGUUUUAAUAUUCAGUAUUAUCUGAAGAGAGAUUCAUCUACAGCAAAUGCAGCUACAUUGCGCAUAACAGCAUUACAUUGUUUUGUCAAAAACUGCAAUACAGACAUCAAACUUCAUUGAAAAUAAACAUUCCAAUCUAAUAUUAUUUUAUGAAGUUCAUCAUAUUCACUUUUUAGAUUACACAUAUGAUCACUGCUCGAAUGUAUGAUCAUAUGCAUCAAUAUGUAUUACAAACGAUGAGCAAUCACCAAUGAAUUAAACCACAUACAUGCCAUAUCGAUAUGGUAUCAUUAAUUGAUAGAUGAAAAUUCAUUUUUGUUGUAAAGUAGCUAUAUAACUAUAUUUCUUUUCAUUGUAAAUAUCACAUGCACCAAUCUUCAUCAAAAUGUAUAGCAUUUAACCUCCUCUUGUACAAUCAAUUAUGACGCACAUCCGCUUUAGAAACUUCACGUCUACUUUUGGUCAGUACACUACCUCAUAAAUUCAUGCUCGCUUUGUUUGCUUCCUUGUACGUCUGUGACAUUUUGUACAGACUUAGCUUUCAUAUACCGCUAAAUAGUGUUUACAGUAUUUAGGGUUCGUUUGUAUUUUGUGUUCAAUCCGGUUUUUUUUUUGUUUACAAUUGUUGUGCCUAUGUUAGCUCUCCGGGGCGUUUUAGCUACCUUGCUGUUUAGCUAGUCUAGUUGGACGGUAACAGCUGCUCUUUUUUUCAUACCGAUGCCUGGAUGAGCUGCCAAAAAUGAGGGUGACUGAUUUCCAUCGUCUUGAAAGCGACCAGUAAAGCUCCUUCAAUGCUGGAGAAGGGCUUCAGGUUUUGAGCUAAAUCUUCAAUUACGAGGGUUGCCCUGAACCACUCAGACCCAGUCUUCAUGACACAAUGCUGCUCAAGUGGGUUGUUCUAUACCACUUAUCCCUAACCAGUCCAGGCACUGCAGAUGGAAAUGACCUGUUAGCUAAAUCUGCAUGAGAACGACAAGGUUGACGUGUACACAGCUGCAGCUGACAGGCUUCCCGGCGGACUGCAUAUCUCACAUUUCCUUUCUGACGCCAUGCCUGAUUUCUGUGAGGUCUUACUACACCGCUCGAUCGCUGGCAGCGCUAGUCUCGCCAAAGUGCACGUAAGGAUCCCGUCUCUGACACAUUGGGGAUUACGUUUCCUUUUUUUUAAGGAUCUCCUCAUUAACGCCACCGAAUUCCAUUUUUAUCUGCCCACCGCCCUCCCUCUGCCCUUCUUCUACCUUUUCAGUCAUAACUGCUUCCUGAAUAUCUGCUGACAAAGGAUUAUUUAAAAAAAAUCUGCUUACCUUUCCGUCUUUUUGUCGCUGAAAUACACUGUUGGCUUCUAACCCAGUUACCUUCUAUAAACUGUGCCGGAUUCUUGGCAGCGGUGCUUAGUUCAUCUGAGGACAGCGAGGAACUGGAAAAACAGCUAAUGCCUCCCGCAUACUUAUAGGAAUGGCAGCGAUCCAGAAACCCUACCAAUAGUAUAUCAGCAAGUCUGCCACCAAAGAAACAUUUUACAGUGACCAUCGAUGCUGUUUCCCCUUCAUGUAGAUUCAUUCCCCUGAUAUAUUUCUCAAACAAUAUUUUAUAUAAUCCUUUGAUUCUCUCCCAGCCUGCCCUCACCCACCCCCUCCCCUGAAUCACACUGCUGCACAGCUCCUGUUCAACUUGAAUGAACUUGCCAGCGGGCUUCCUGUAUCUCAGCAACAGCCAAGUGACACACAGGAUCACUAUGUUAUCUUGCUUACUGU